UUGUUUUUUUGUUACUUUUUGCAACUUUUUGUAACUUUGUAAAUAAUGUCUGUAUAUUUAUGAAAUUUGUAUCCUUUGGGUAAAAAUUUCACGCCGUAUUUUGGUGUAUUUAUGGAGAAUAUUUAAUAGAGUUCGCACAGGCAGUUCAUUUACCAGAAAUAUGAUUUUCAAACAAUCAUUAUUCAAAGUUUGGACAAGAUGCCUCUCAUCAAGUAGUCCUGCGCAACCCAAACUAGUGCUGGGAUGUGGUAGUAAUGUUGUUGACCAGUUCUAUAUGGUACAAGGUACAUACGUGGUAUAUAAACCAGAGUAUUGUUUAUAGAUUGUUUGCUUACUGGCACUGCCAAAGAAUAUUGAAGCAUGCAAAUACCUUUGGAGAAAGUACUGUGGAAAGUUUGUAUCAUGGCAACUGAGAUAUUGGGUUGAGUAUUUUGAUGCUUUCUAUAUAUUUACCAUUACAUUUUCUAAAUCUCGGCUGUGCAAUUGGCAAACUUUCCAGUCAGGCUUCUGGAUAAUGAGUGUUUAUUUAACCCAUUGAGUCGCGUUGUGCCCAUUGUGCCCUACUGUAUUAUUUUGCUCUGUCUAACUCCAGACAAUUUUACUGAUGAAGGUGAGAUUUCUGACGCUCAAUGGGUUAUAAUAAUCAAACUACUCUGGCUAACGCAAGACGAUUUUACUCAUUAAGGAGGGAGUAAUGGCCCUCUCAUUGAAUCUAGUUGUGCCCUACUUUAUUAUUUUACUUUGUCUAAUGCCAGACAAUUUUACUUGUCAAGAGGAGAGUGAUGGUGCUUAAUGAGUUAACUGGCCUAUCUGCCCAUGUAUCUAAUUAACCCAUUGAGUCGCAUUGUGCCCUGAUGCACCCUACUUUAUUGUUUUACUGUGUCUAAUGCCAGAUGAUUUUACUUGUCAAGGGGAGAGUGCUGGUGCUUAAUGGGUUAAACUGGAUGUGGGUGGAGCUACCCGGCUACCUGUGUUGCCCCAUAUUGCCACAAUAUAGUGUUUGGUAAUUUGCAUUUAUAAUUGGAACCAAACUAGCUUGCCUAACCAGGGAGAUAUUUAUCUUGCUUUGCAUUGCACAGGUAUGGGUAUAUGCCUAAGCUUGUUCAACUAUAUGUUCAGCUCAUAAUGAAAUUCUCUACUUAAAUUCUAGCUGUACCAAAGGUUGGGGAGAAAGGAUAUUUUGCCAGGUUUGUUUAAUUGAAAAGUUGAAGCAAAGUCUUAUAAAAAUGCCCACAUACAAUUUGAAGUGUAUCAUGUCUUUAAGUAUGGUAGCCUGUGAUUCCAUUAUUUACUCAUAUGCAAUUUAUAGUCCAAAUAAAACUCAUGAGAAGAGUAUUGUUGGUGGUGUCACAUUAAACCAUUUGUCCUGGGCAUCUAUUCUUGGAGGUAAUUGAUUGAAUUCAUUGUUGAAUAAUUCAACAUAUUUUGUGAUUGCAACAGUCAAUAGUCAGUCAUAAAAAAGCAAAAACAUUUCCCAGUAUUAGUAGCAAGACAGUACGUACUGUACUUAAAUCAUUUUCAUUACCAGAAUGAACUUUUUUAAUACUUUAUUCUUGCUUAGUUCCAACAGGCUUACUGGCACUGCAAGGUGAUGACAAGUCUGGAAAAUUGAUACGUAAAACUAUGAAAAACAUGAAUGUCUCCACAGAGUUCGUACAAGGUAGGAAAGGCAGAUCACUAGUGGUGGCUUCCCCCCUGGAGAAUUUGUCCCUCCCCUGUUCUUCCCCUCAGAAAAUGCACACCCUGCCCCCCCCCCCAAAAAAAAAUGAGUAAAUCCCCUUCUCCCAAAAGCAACCUCCCUGAAUAAAGUAGAUCCAUACUUGGUGAUUUAACUUUAACAUGUUUGCACAGCAACUGAAUGUUACAAAAUAUAUCUAUUUUCUUUUUGCUAUAGUCAGUAAAGAGUUUACAACUGGUGAGGUUAGUAAUAUGCAUUAAUGAAAAGAUCAUUUUGUUAAAUGUUUCUAUAUCUUGAAACAUAUGUACACAGCCAAAAAGUAUAAAUUAUAGUACGUUGGUUUCAUGUUUCAUUGCUUCAUAUGUUUUUUAUGGGUUCAGUGGUGGGGGCAGGGGGAGAGGGGGCAACCGCCCCCUCCAAUCACCACAAAACCAUUUUCCCAAAAAGCCUAAAUCCGCACAGCUAAAACAGUCAAUGCUAAAACUCGACCUAGGACAAUGACAAUUUACUGCUCAAGUGUGCUCACAAACAUGCUCGUGAGCACAUUAAAGUGUGCUCAUGAGCAUAUCAAUAUCAAGUAUUGUCAUGAGCAUGCUCAUAUAUACAAGAAAAUCAUGCAGUAUGCUCAUAAGCAGGCUCAUGAACAUACUGCAGGAUUUUGGUAUAAGCGUGAGCACCCUCAUAUAUACACAAAAAUCAUGCAGUAUGCUCAUUACAGGAGCAUAUAUUACAGGAUUUUGGUACAUAUAUUGAAAUCCGGUAUCCAUCCUUUAUAGCCAGAAACCAUCGUGGCUAUAAGGUAUGGCAAAAUCCUGUAUCCUCCUGUGGCUAUAAGGAAUACCGAAAUCCUGUAUUGUUUACAGCCACAAACCGCCAUGCAGAUGGCUAUACAGUAAGUAUGCCGAAAUCUCGUUUCCUAUAGCCACAAACCGCCAUGGCUAUAUAUAAAGUAUGGCAAUUAAUCCUUUAUUUUUUAUAGCCACAAACCUCUGUGGCUAUAAGGAUCGAAUACUGUAAUCCGGUAUCCUUUGCAAGCACAAACCGCUGUGGGUAUAAGUAUGCCGAAAUCCGGUAUCUUUUAUAGCUGCAAACCACAUUGGCUACAUGUAAGGUCAUGUAAUACAAUGGCGAAAUCCGCUAUCCAUAAAGGUCCAGACACACCGGACGCGAUUCGACAAAGUGACGCAAUUUUUUAGUUUUUGAAAAAUAAAACAGCCGGCCAAUGUGCAAUGAGAGCAAAUUUUAAAAGAUAUGUGGACCAAGUAACUCAAAAUGUUAUAACGCUUCUAAAUAUUUGGAAAAUUUAAACUAGGAUCAAAUUAUCGGUCAGUGAAAAUCGAAAAAUCACAUCGCGUUGUCGAAUCACGUCCGGUGUGUCUGGAGUUUUUAUAGCCACAAAUCGCUGUGACUAUAUGCCGAAAACCGGUACAUACUUACCGAUUGACAUAGCAUGAAUGUUUCCUCUCAAACUUAUUCUGUAUCUUACGAAAAGUGAAUUUUGAGAAUGCGAGAAGUAUUAAUGUUUUACCUUUUGUGAUAUCAUUUUCUUUCAAACAGUCGUUUGUGUUUGUUCAAGAAGAUGGUGAGCGGUCCAUUGUGAUGGCCACCGGCGCCACAAGUCUGAUGAACGAGAAAAUUGCAAGGCAUUAUUUUGGUAUGGCGAAACAUGAGAGAUGAGGUUGUGAUAGAAUGUGAGAUGCAUUCAAGAAUGAUAAACAGAAAAAUGAGACAGAAAGAUGAUGAUUGAUAAAAUUAUGGUAGACAGAAAGAUAUAGCUGGCGUGUCAAAGCUAUAGCUGCCCCGUCCAAAAAAAUACCCUUGGUGUAGCAACCUAUUUUUGUGGAUGUGGUUAAAAGACACAACACUUGAAAUUAAUUGUCAUACACUCAUAAGUUAUAAUUCAGCGUUUUUUCGCAAAAAAAAAGUAUAGAAACGUGUGCAUGGAUAAAGUUAUAACCAACUAGCAGCUGACAACUUUUGAGGUAUUCAAGAAAUUUAGUUUUAGUAGUUUAGUUUUAAUAAUUAGCUUUCGUACAUCAUCGUACGAAGAGUUAAAUAACAGAGCAAGCUCCAAUCAAGGUUUAACCCUGAAUGUUACAAAGCUUACGGUAGAUCACGAUAGAUAGAAAGAUGAGAGACAUGAGGAAUGAGAGAAAAGUAUUAUAGACAGAAGAAUGAUGGACUUUUGCUGACGAAAGUAAUAAGAAUAGCAGAAGAUAGAUAGAAGGUUGCUAAAUAGGGUGUUCGGUAAACAUAUGAUAAUCACGUAAAAACCUCACAUCUUCUCAAAUCUCUCAUCCAACAAACCGUCAACACGUUGUGUUCGCACUGCUUGUCUCAAGUUGUCAACAGGUUUGGAACGAGCUGUUAACAAUUUGUAACAACCUUGUUGAUAUUAUCAGAAUUGUUGCAAGUUUGUUCCAACAAGUCCAAUACAGUCAUGAUAUAACAAUAUUGUUACAACCUUGUGUCGUCAACCUUGUAACAUUCUUGUUAUAUCAUAACUGUAUCAGACUUGUUAGAACAACCUUGUAACAAGUCUGAUAAUGCCAUCAAACUUGUAACAAGUUGUCAACAGCUUGUUCCAAACUUGUUGCAACAACUGGGAACAAGCAGUGCGAACACAACUUGUCGACAGCUUGUGAACAGAUUUGCAUGUAACAACUUGUUUGCAGACCUGUAACAACUUGUGCGUUUUUACGUGUGUAUAGAUGGGAAAUAGUCAUAGAAGACUAUAUUCUUUGAAUUUUAGAGAAAGCGAUUAUGAAUGAUUGUCAAAUGUUAACCACAGAAAUUUCUCAAGUUCCGUUAUCUGGCGUUCUUGCCGUUCUACAAACUGCGAAGUAAGUUUUUUUUAAAGCACUGAUGUGAUUUUUCAUCAUUGUCAUUGAAACAAUCAGCAUUGCAAAUCACUUACUGCCAAAGAAUGUUAUUGAUUAGAACUGUCCAUUAUGAAACUAAUUUCUUGAUUUUAAGAGCAGCAGGGAUUACAACAGUCUUAGAUCUCGACGUUUCUCCUUCGGUAAGAACACACUAUAACGUACAGACGUUAUUUUUGUGCACAUGUUUUGAAAUUCAUAUUGGUUAUUUGUAUUUGAUUCUAUAUCUUGCUUUUAUUCUCACUAUAGGUUGCAAUCAACGAAGCUCAACUUGGAACCAUUGAUGAACUGAUAGAGUUAGUACCAAUGAAAUCGCUUAAUCUUUAAUUUUUGUACAGCCAAUUCAAAAAUGGUUGUCCUUUGCAAACCUUAAUCUCUAAGCCUUCAACCUUAAACGCGCGCAAAGCUUAAUGGGAGCACAAGUUUGAAGCUUAGUAGUUGAAUAUUCCAGCUAUUUGUGACUGAAUUGUUCUCGUAAGGAGAUAUUUACCAUGUCUCUAAGAAAUGAGCCCCAUGCAUAUAUGAUUUCUAAACUGAUUAAAUGAUGCUCCCAUUAUGCUUUGCACGCUUAGAGUUUAAGGGUUGAAGUUUAAGGUUUGCAAAGGACAACCUUUUUUGAUUAGCUUUAUACUAAAGUUUAGUCUGAGUAAUACCAAUAUAUCAAUGGCCAAUUUAAGAAAGCUUGAAAGCUUAACCACUGUCUGGUGUAUAGCAGAGCCUGGAAUAACGGACGGACAUCGGACAUUUUCUGGCCAAAUCACAGUUUUUCCAACCAAAUGCUGAUUUGGUCGGACAUUUUGUCCGGACAAAAAAUAGCAAUCAACCUUCUUGAAAGACUGGGUUCACCAUAAGCUGUGUGCAAUCCUCGCGCAAAGAACGUUAAAUGUAAAAGAUUUAACUAUACUGGCUUGUGUUUGGCAUAGAGUAUUAUUUAUAUAUUGGCUUAAUUUAUCCAACGAAGGCGUGAAAUCAAAAUGGAAUCGAAAAAAUAUCCGACCAAAUUUCAGAGAUUCCGAUCAAAUUUUAUUUUGGUAGGAUAUUUUUCCGAACAAAUUUUGAACGUUGUUUCGGGCUAUGCUUUCGACGUUUCGUACGACCGAUCCCUGGGUACCAAUUAUGAGAGUUUAAUAAAUCACUGUGUCUUUUUUGUAUUUAGAUGCGUAAGAACGGCCGAUAUCUUGAAGCCAGCGAAGCACGCUGCCAAAGAAAUGCUUCCUUACUUAGCAUCUGAGAUAAUGUAAGUUUUCUGUAUACCACUUUUAUCUAUAAUGUGUUUUAAAAUCGACUUCUCGCAUGUAAAAUUAAGAUGGAUUUUAUUUGUGAAGGGUUGACAACAUGGUGGAACUAACCAAAGUUAUGAGAGAAGCGUGUGGUUCAAAACUUAUCGCAAUUACAUGUGGUGAAGAUUCCUCCAUCUUGGCCACAGAAAACCAUGUGAGUUCUGCAAACAUAUCUAGUCUAGUGACUGGAUCGGUUUUUAAUCGCGGGAGAAGGCUUAUAGCAGGCAUACUCUGGGAUCUAAACUCGCCUUAAAUCGCAUUAAAUCACGGGUUAAAAUUGUCAUCCCAAAUGCAUAAAGUUAUACAAAAACAGCGAUGUAAAUAUGUAGGACCCAGGGCAACUCGAAGGACAAAAAUGGUUCCGAGAAGAGCAGAUUUGCGAAUUGUGCUAUGCCUAUGCCUUCUCGCCUCCCGUCUUUCCCCAGCGCGGCUAGCAUCGCGGAAGCGAAAGGCAGGAACUAAGCUGGGAAACAUUGUUGUUUCAAAUGUCUUCAAAUGUUUUCCGGUUGCGUUUUCUCAAAAACAUCAUUCUUUGAAUAUUCUCCCGUUUGUCCAACCUUAAUUUGCAACAUUGAACAACAUUCCUUUUAACGUGAUUUUGGACUCGCAGAUAUUGUUUCGAUUUUUUCCCAACAGUUAGUUAAAGUUCCAUCAGUUCGUGUGUCACGUGUGGUGGAUGCGACCGGGGCAGGGGACGCGUUUCUUGGGGGAUUGGUAUCAGGUU
Molecule: long non-coding RNA, 6561 nt
Filed under: Paramuricea clavata
Lineage: Eukaryota; Metazoa; Cnidaria; Anthozoa; Malacalcyonacea; Plexauridae
Source: RNAcentral